UACGUAGGGGGCAAGCGUUGUCCGGAUUUAUUGGGCGUAAAGAGCGUGUAGGCGGUUUGGUAGGUCCGCUGUGAAAACUCGAGGCUCAACCUCGAGACGCCGGUGGAAACCAUCAGACUAGAGUCCGGAAGAGGAUAGUGGAAUUCCCGGUGUAGUGGUGAAAUGCGUAGAUAUCGGGAGGAACACCAGUGGCGAAGGCGACUAUCUGGGCUGCAACUGACGCUGAGGCGCGAAGGCUAGGGUAGCAAACAGG
RNAcentral lists this ribosomal RNA (253 nucleotides) under uncultured bacterium. RNAcentral's name for it is "partial 16S ribosomal RNA". It matches the Rfam family "Bacterial small subunit ribosomal RNA", at positions 524 to 776 of the family's 1533-position model. The record is from RNAcentral.